GCGGCGAUGGUGGAACGGUAGACACGCUACCUUGAGGUGGUAGUGGCCAAAAGCUGUGGGAGUUCGAGUCUCCCUCGCCGCA
Molecule: transfer RNA, 82 nt
Filed under: Myxococcaceae bacterium
Lineage: Bacteria; Pseudomonadati; Myxococcota; Myxococcia; Myxococcales; Myxococcaceae
Description: tRNA-Leu
Rfam family: tRNA
About the family: Transfer RNA (tRNA) molecules are approximately 80 nucleotides in length. Their secondary structure includes four short double-helical elements and three loops (D, anti-codon, and T loops).
Source: RNAcentral